UGAAAAAAAACAAAGAAGAAGAAGUAGAAGAAGAAGAAGAAGAAAUUCCGUCCGCCCCAGCGCUACCUCUGAACAGUAAGCUAAGCAGUGACCACAUUUUUUCCCAAAAUGAUCAACAAAUUUUCCACAACGUUUUGAACCGAUAAAACUAUCGACAAAACCGACAGUCCCCAGUGUUGGAAAUGUGUGAAAAGCCGUCAGAAGAGUACAUGGAGGAGCUACUUUGUGGAAAAAAAGAGAUGGAGCUACACCAGCCAAACAUGGAGCCACGAGUUGUUUCACAGCAACUUACAGAUGCAUCAAACUAGCAUGGCGCCAAGAACCACUCGCUCCAAAGUUGGACUACACUUCACCAGGAAAGAGUGUGAAAAUGAAAAGUUACGACGGCUAUUCUCUCAGAUACCAACUGCCCUUCUUCCGACAGCAACGCUUACAAAUAUCGCGCCGACGAGGAUGACGAGGAUUAUUCUUGUGAUAAAUUCAAGGACGCCGACGAGGAUUAUUCUUGUGAUGAAUUUGACGACGAUGACGCCGACGACAAAGACGACAGUUGUCUGCGUCCUCAGUGCGGGAAAACUUUUAAAACCGAAUCUCUGAAGCGUCACGUGAAAACGCACGCCGCAGAGAAAGAUUUCAUCUGCUCGUUUUGCGGUAUACAAAUGACUACCAAGAGCAAUUUAAAACGCCACAUGCUAACACACACAGGCGAAAAACCUGCUCUCUGUUCAGAGUGCGGUAAGCGCUUCGCUACUCAAGUCUGUUUAAAAAAGCACAUGAGAACACACACCGGAGAGAAACCGCACGAAUGUUUUGUUUGCCAUAGAAGAUUCGGCGAGAAACAACUUCUGAAAUACCACAUGAGAACGCACACCGGCGAGAAACCAUACGCUUGCCAACUUUGCAGUAAACGAUUCGCGAUCCAAGGCAGCUUAGUUAAACACCAAAAAGUGCACACUGGUGAGAAACCGUUUUACUGCGCAGCUUGCGGUAAAAGUUACACUAGAAAAGUGUAUUUCACAAACCACUCGUGUAAAGGGACUAACGGAAAAGCAAAGUUGAACGGGAAAUUUUGAGAUUUUUUGAGACGAUUCAUAGUCGAAGCUCUGGAAAAAUACGGUGCCGACUCUGGUAAAUUGUAAAACUGUGAAUGAUCAGUGUUGUCACUAACGCGUUACUGUAAUGUGAUUGAUUACAGUAUUGGCUCGAAUAUAAGACGACCCCCUCUUUUUCAAGACUCAAGUUUGGGAAAAAAAAAGACUUUUUGAACACUAAUGUGCAAUCACAUUCGUAAAUGAAUGGCUUCUGGUUUUUGAAAUGUAAAUAAACCAAUCUAUUGUGAUAAAACAACAAAAUUGCAAUAGUUAACGCAAUUGCAUUAACCAUCAAAGUGAAGUCUAACUGUAAUUGUAGUGUUGUAACAAAUCUGAGUAAGGACAAACAUUGCAAUAAAAUAAUGCAAACUGGUUAAACUUGAGAGUAGCUGAGAUCUUUCAUGACAGAACAUUACUCAAGUUCAGCAUUCGCUUUAAUGAUAUCUGGCGCCAUCUAGCGUCUUGAAUGGGUAUUACGUCUAGACUGCGAAUAUAAGACGACCCCCACUUUUUCAGUCUUAUUUCAAUGCAAAAAACACCAAACACCGUCUUGUAUUCAGGCCAAUACGGUACUUUCUUUCAGUAACGAGUAACGCUUUCAUUUUUCCAAACUAGUAAUCUGAUUAAAGUUGGUGUGUGUUAUUUAGGGCCUGAGCACCAACUGGGAGAGACAGUGACGACCGAAAGUAGUAUUUGCCAUGUGGCAAAAUAGAUUUUGGCAUGUGUUUUUUUUUUUUUUUUUUUUUUUUUUUUUUUGCCAUGUGGCAAAAUGGAUUUUGGCAUGUUGCAUUUACUUUUGCCAUUGGAGUGGAAAUUAAAGACAUGUUGCUUUUCGCCCUCUUCAACGCUGAUUCAAAACGAAACUUAUGAACUUGCAAACUCGUGGUGGAUCUGUUGCACUUAUGCACUUUCUGUUGCAGCAGGUGUAACCACAGAGAAAAAACAACUCGCAACUCACGAGUUCUAGGAAAACAGUGUAAGCAGAAGGGGCGAGAGUAUAUAAGUAAAGGAGGGAGCAGUGUUAAAUCUGAGAGUCUGCUGUGGUCUUACGCGUCAGACGUGCAGCCAGGUACUUUCUGCUCAACUUUACCGAGGACAACCUGGCUCUCCGUCCUUCCAGCACACGGUAAUUAAGCCUUUGCUUAGAGCGAUUGUACAGUAACGCUUCUAUUCUGUGGCUUAAAUAAAAUGUGCCGCUUGUUUAACGCGGAGAAGUGUUAGAGCCUUGUGUGUGUGUGUGUGUGUUGCCGAUUUUCCUCGAUCCCAAUAGGCCAUAUUAUUACAGUAAUUGAUCAUAAACUGUAAUAGGCCUGACAUCUGGUAAGAUACUGUAUUUGACUGUAAGCAGUAUUGAUGCAAAUCUAUCACAAUUAUUGGUUAUAAAAUUGUGAUAUUCCCCGUUUCGUGUGGUAAUUGCGUAUAAAUCACACGACCCUAUCUUUGGGCCCUUAGACAUACU
This is an RNA transcript of Corythoichthys intestinalis (scribbled pipefish), 2550 nucleotides long. It is a transcript of the gene named gastrula zinc finger protein XlCGF17.1-like, with no coding region annotated. The record is from RefSeq and is a predicted model, not a curated record. The transcript is spliced from 4 exons. Lineage: Eukaryota; Metazoa; Chordata; Actinopteri; Syngnathiformes; Syngnathidae.